GGAUCAACACGUCGGUCGUGCCACUGGUAUGAACUGGCGUCGUUGAUUUCUCCUUUCUGAGGAACCAUGAUGUCAUUAAUUUGGUGUGGUGGGAAAUCAGGACUGUUACUUUGAAAAAUUAGAGUGUUUAAAGCAGGCUCGCGCUUGAAUACAUUAGCAUGGAAUAAUGAAAUAGGACGUUCGAUUCUAUUUUGUUGGUUUCUAGGAUCAACGUAAUGAU
RNAcentral lists this ribosomal RNA (220 nucleotides) under uncultured fungus. RNAcentral describes it as "partial 18S ribosomal RNA". The stretch from base 40 to 220 matches the Rfam family "Eukaryotic small subunit ribosomal RNA", at positions 686 to 869 of the family's 1831-position model. The record is from RNAcentral. Lineage: Eukaryota; Fungi.